This 301-nucleotide ribosomal RNA is filed under the name uncultured bacterium. Its description in RNAcentral is "partial 16S ribosomal RNA". It matches the Rfam family "Bacterial small subunit ribosomal RNA", at positions 509 to 807 of the family's 1533-position model. The record is from RNAcentral.
CAGCCGCCACGGUAAUACGUAGGGUGCAAGCGUUAAUCGGAAUUACUGGGCGUAAAGCGUGCGCAGGCGGUUUUGUAAGUCUGUCGUGAAAUCCCCGGGCUCAACCUGGGAAUGGCAGUGGAUACUGGCAAGCUAGAGUGUGUCGGAGGAUGGUGGAAUUCCCGGUGUAGCGGUGAAAUGCGUAGAGAUCGGGAGGAACAUCAGUGGCGAAGGCGGCCAUCUGGGACAACACUGACGCUGAGGCACGAAAGCGUGGGGAGCAAACAGGAUUAGAUACCCCUGUAGUCCCUGUCUCUUAUAC